UGAGUAACCUGCCCUGGACUUUGGGAUAACCCUCGGAAACGGGGGCUAAUACCGGAUAUGACGCACUCUCGCAUGGGAUGUGUGUGGAAAGUUUUUCGGUCUGGGAUGGGCUCGCGGCCUAUCAGCUUGUUGGUGGGGUGAUGGCCUACCAAGGCGACGACGGGUAGCCGGCCUGAGAGGGCGACCGGCCACACUGGGACUGAGACACGGCCCAGACUCCUACGGGAGGCA
RNAcentral lists this ribosomal RNA (231 nucleotides) under uncultured bacterium. RNAcentral describes it as "partial 16S ribosomal RNA". It matches the Rfam family "Bacterial small subunit ribosomal RNA", at positions 118 to 350 of the family's 1533-position model. The record is from RNAcentral.